GAGGAAGCCCGGUGCGAAUCCGGCGCGGUCCCGCCACUGUGAGCCCGGCCCUCAGAAGCCGGGCGAGUCAGGAACUC
Molecule: non-coding RNA, 77 nt
Filed under: Streptomyces sp.
Lineage: Bacteria; Bacillati; Actinomycetota; Actinomycetes; Kitasatosporales; Streptomycetaceae
Source: RNAcentral